This 566-nucleotide ribosomal RNA is filed under the name uncultured bacterium. Its description in RNAcentral is "partial 16S ribosomal RNA". It matches the Rfam family "Bacterial small subunit ribosomal RNA", at positions 355 to 914 of the family's 1533-position model. The record is from RNAcentral.
UGGGGAAUUUUGGACAAUGGGGGAAACCCUGAUCCAGCCAUCCCGCGUGUGCGAUGAAGGCCUUCGGGUUGUAAAGCACUUUUGGCAGGAAAGAAACGUCGCGGGUUAAUACCCCGCGAAACUGACGGUACCUGCAGAAUAAGCACCGGCUAACUACGUGCCAGCAGCCGCGGUAAUACGUAGGGUGCAAGCGUUAAUCGGAAUUACUGGGCGUAAAGCGUGCGCAGGCGGUUCGGAAAGAAAGAUGUGAAAUCCCAGAGCUUAACUUUGGAACUGCAUUUUUAACUACCGGGCUAGAGUGUGUUAGAGGGAGGUGGAAUUCCGCGUGUAGCAGUGAAAUGCGUAGAUAUGCGGAGGAACACCGAUGGCGAAGGCAGCCUCCUGGGAUAACACUGACGCUCAUGCACGAAAGCGUGGGGAGCAAACAGGAUUAGAUACCCUGGUAGUCCACGCCCUAAACGAUGUCAACUAGCUGUUGGGGCCUUCGGGCCUUGGUAGCGCAGCUAACGCGCGAAGUUGACCGCCUGGGGAGUACGGUCGCAAGAUUAAAACUCAAAUGAAUUGAC